AUUGAACGCUGGCGGCAUGCCUUACACAUGCAAGUCGAACGGCAGCACGGGUGCUUGCACCUGGUGGCGAGUGGCGAACGGGUGAGUAAUACAUCGGAACGUACCUUAUCGUGGGGGAUAACGCAGCGAAAGCUGUGCUAAUACCGCAUACGCCCUGAGGGGGAAAUGGGGGAUCUUCGGACCUCACGUUAAUGGAGCGGCCGAUAUCUGAUUAGCUAGUUGGUGGGUAAAGGCUCACCAAGGCGACGAUCAGUAGCUGGUCUGAGAGGACGACCAGCCACACUGGGACUGAGACACGGCCC
Molecule: ribosomal RNA, 302 nt
Filed under: uncultured bacterium
Lineage: Bacteria
Description: bacterial SSU rRNA
Rfam family: Bacterial small subunit ribosomal RNA
Source: RNAcentral